GAUGAACGCUGGCGGCGUGCUUAACACAUGCAAGUCGAACGGAAAGGCCAGUGCUUGCACUGGUACUCGAGUGGCGAACGGGUGAGUAACACGUGGGUGAUCUGCCCUGUACUUCGGGAUAAGCUUGGGAAACUGGGUCUAAUACCGGAUAGGACAACUUUUUGGAUAUUGUUGUGGAAAGCUUUUGCGGUAUGGGGUGAGCUCGCGGCCUAUCAGCUUGUUGGUGGGGUAAUGGCCUACCAAGGCGUCGACGGGUAGCCGGCGUGUGAGGGGGUAAGGCGACAUUGGGGGUGUGAUACAGGGCAGACUCCUACGGGGGGCAGAAGUGGGGAAUAUAGUGCAAUAGGCGCAGGACUGAGGUGGAGCCGCGGCGUGGGGGGUAAAGGCGUUCGGGUUGUGAAAUCCGUUCGCGAGGGACGAAGCUUUUUUGUGACGGUACCUGGUAAAGAAGCACCGGCUAACUACGUG
This 468-nucleotide ribosomal RNA is filed under the name uncultured bacterium. RNAcentral's name for it is "partial 16S ribosomal RNA". It matches the Rfam family "Bacterial small subunit ribosomal RNA", at positions 28 to 507 of the family's 1533-position model. The record is from RNAcentral.